RNAcentral lists this ribosomal RNA (178 nucleotides) under Escherichia coli. RNAcentral's name for it is "partial 16S ribosomal RNA". It matches the Rfam family "Bacterial small subunit ribosomal RNA", at positions 1 to 172 of the family's 1533-position model. The record is from RNAcentral. Lineage: Bacteria; Pseudomonadati; Pseudomonadota; Gammaproteobacteria; Enterobacterales; Enterobacteriaceae. RNAcentral also lists the same sequence under 1 other name.
AAAUUGAAGAGUUUGAUCAUGGCUCAGAUUGAACGCUGGCGGCAGGCCUAACACAUGCAAGUCGAACGGUAACAGGAAGAAGCUUGCUUCUUUGCUGACGAGUGGCGGACGGGUGAGUAAUGUCUGGGAAACUGCCUGAUGGAGGGGGAUAACUACUGGAAACGGUAGCUAAUACCGC